This 172-nucleotide ribosomal RNA is filed under the name Danio albolineatus (pearl danio). RNAcentral describes it as "partial 12S rRNA". Lineage: Eukaryota; Metazoa; Chordata; Actinopteri; Cypriniformes; Danionidae. The record is from RNAcentral.
AACCGCGGUUAGACGAGAGGCUCUAGUUGAUGUACUACGGCGUAAAGGGUGGUUAGAGAAAAAUUAAAAUAAAGCCAAAUAGCCCUUUAGCCGUCAUACGCUUUUAGGCGCUAGAAGCCCGAGCACGAAAGUAGCUUUAGUUGAAUUACCCGACCCCACGAAAGCUAAGGAA